Molecule: long non-coding RNA, 800 nt
Organism: Portunus trituberculatus (swimming crab)
Lineage: Eukaryota; Metazoa; Arthropoda; Malacostraca; Decapoda; Portunidae
Exons: 3
Source: RefSeq, a predicted model, not a curated record
GUGCGGUGUGGAUAUGAGGGCGUGUGUCAGCCAAAGGAAGGGCAGCACAUUCGAGGUGAUCCCACACCAGCUGAACAAAUCCUCGGCCUUUUGUGUUAUGGCGGCGGGCGAGUGCGGUUCCUUGUGUGUGCGUGCGUGGCGUCGCGGUUAGUGUAGUGAUAGAUAGUGUGCGUUAGUUGAUCCUAUUGAAUGCGUCUUCCUCGCGUUGGAUUUGGUGAGUACCCGUAUCACAGGUCACACCGUGGGACUGUCACCGCUGGAGCAACCCUUCGGAAUAAAGUCAAGUACAAAUUACUGUUUCCUAGGCGUUAGGUGUUAGGCAUAGGGCGAUAGGCGGCGCGGCUAACCAUUCUCUUCCAGGUACAAACUAACCUUCUCUUCCAGGUACAUGUUAAUUAUCUAGUCUUUCCCAGUAAUGCCCUGGUUAGCACACCGUGGCGGCGAUUCUGGAGCCUCGUGCUGGUGCUGGUGGUGGUGGUGGGCGUGCACGUGCUAUCAUAUGGGUUGCGUGGUAGGUGCGUUCAGUGGUCUGGGGUGUGUUGGUGCGUGUUCUGAAGAGAUGACCGCAGACACGCUGGCUGCUGAUGACUAGAGCCGCACAGAGGCAGUGUUCUGUACAAGCUGGAUGGAAGUAUGCAAACCUCGCAAUGAAGAUGGAAAAGGUCAGCAAAUGGUUCUAUCUUGACUUUUGCCGAAAAUAAGCGUCGUGUGUGUGUGUGUGUGUGUGUGUGUAGGUAAGAUUAUUAUUAUCUUUUUUUCAGGUCUAAUUACUAGUUAUUUCUUACAGGUCAAACUAAUAU